This 481-nucleotide ribosomal RNA is filed under the name uncultured bacterium. RNAcentral's name for it is "bacterial SSU rRNA". It matches the Rfam family "Bacterial small subunit ribosomal RNA", at positions 30 to 507 of the family's 1533-position model. The record is from RNAcentral.
UUGAACGCUGGCGGCAGGCCUAACACAUGCAAGUCGAGCGGAUGAGAAGAGCUUGCUCUUCGAUUCAGCGGCGGACGGGUGAGUAAUGCCUAGGAAUCUGCAUGGUAGUGGGGACAACGUUUCGAAAGGAACGCUAAUACCGCAUACGUCCUACGGGAGAAAGCAGGGGACCUUCGGGCCUUGCGCUAUCAGAUGAGCCUAGGUCGGAUUAGCUAGUUGGUGAGGUAAUGGCUCACCAAGGCUACGAUCCGUAACUGGUCUGAGAGGAUGAUCAGUCACACUGGAACUGAGACACGGUCCAGACUCCUACGGGAGGCAGCAGUGGGGAAUAUUGGACAAUGGGCGAAAGCCUGAUCCAGCCAUGCCGCGUGUGUGAAGAAGGUCUUCGGAUUGUAAAGCACUUUAAGUUGGGAGGAAGGGCAGUAAGCUAAUACCUUGCUGUUUGACGUUACCGACAGAAUAAGCACCGGCUAACUCUGUG